GGGGAGAAAUGCUAAUGAUGACUAUUCAAAUGGACUAAUGUGAAACAAAAGGGUGGGAAAACUUCAAUCACUCUUUUUUGUAUUAUUACAGGUGCCCACUUUGAUGACUUGUACUAGCGCCUUUGAUCUCCAUCAUAGAAAAUGCUCUGCUCCAUUUCAAAAGAGAUUGUCAUAUAUGCCAUUUGCCAUUCACUGGCCUUUGGAUCAAACCAACAACAGACCUCACAGAUAGAAUUCCACCAAUGGCCAUUCACAAAGAGGGCAUGUCGUUGGUUCCAGUUGUCUUUUGUAAUACACGCUUUGUCUACCUGGAGCUGGAGAGAAUGAGAACAAUAACACUGAGAAGAGAAAUAGAGGUGUUCAAAACAAGGUACAGUGUAAUGCAGGGAACUUGAAAAGCAGAGCGUUUGACCUCAGCAUCCUGAAAUCAGGUGUGAGAAGAAGAAAACAAGACACCUUGUAAUUAAGACAGAUCCAAGACCAGAUUAAUAAUAAAUAUGGCAGGAAACAUUGGGAAGUGUCACUCUAGAGGCCGAGCCAUGGAUUUUAAUAUGUAUCCUUUCAAUUAGCCGUUGACUCUGUGGACAUCCUUUCAUGCUUAAUGGAAGCAGCCUAUGUUAAAAUUCAAAUAAAAUCUCAAAUUUAAAAUCAUUUCUCAUUUUCACUCUGCAUUUAUUAUAGCAGCCUCUUUGAAGUCACUGUCCUUCUUCUUCUUCUUUUUUUUUUUUUUCCCAGACAGAUUCUUGCUCUGUUGUCCAGGCUGGAGUGCAGUGGCACGAUCUCAGCUCACUGCAACCUCCGCCUCCCCGGUUCAAGCAAUUCUCCUGCCUCAGCCUCCUGAGUAGCUGGGAUUACAGGCACCCGCCACCACACCUGGCUAAUUUUUGUAUUUUUAGUAGAGACGGGGUUUCACCAUGUUGGUCAGGCUGGUCUCAAACUCCUGACCUCAGGCGAUCCGCUCACCUCGGCCUCCCAAAGUGCUGGGAUUUCAGGCAUGAGCCACGGAGCCCGGCCUGAAGUCACUUUCUAUCUGAUAAUUUAUCAUUCAUUUUCUUUUAACAUAUAUUAAUUGGCCAUUGACUCUAUGGACAUUCUGCUCAAUGGAGAAGUCCAAAGGGAUAUCAAAUAUCCUUGAACUUUUCACCAAUUUGCAGGACAGCGGAGGAUACAAGUCAAA
RNAcentral lists this long non-coding RNA (1177 nucleotides) under Pan troglodytes (chimpanzee). RNAcentral describes it as "lncRNA (ENSPTRG00000053780.1)". Lineage: Eukaryota; Metazoa; Chordata; Mammalia; Primates; Hominidae. The record is from RNAcentral.